GGGGGAUGCAGAACUAGGUCCAGAGAAAAAGGAUGAAAGGCUUCCUAGCACAAACACCACCCCUGGAGUUCCCGGUACAUCAAUACCAGCCUGGGGAUCACGUUCUCAUCAAGAGUUGGAAGAGGGAAAGCUUGAGCCAGCUUAGGAGGACCUUAUCUGGUACUCUUGAUGAACGAAACAGCAAUCUGAAUGGCUGAAAAAGGAUGGACCCAGCAUUCCAGGGAGAAAACUUGGCAUUCUUUGGGAAUCUAACAGGAUGCAGUGAACCCAAGCCUUUUCAAGAGCUCACCAAUCAGACUGCCCUUGUCUAUCCAUGAGCAGAUGUUUGAUAGUAUUGCGGAGGACCUCUAGUGGGUAUGCUGCCAAGCAACUGGAGUGGCACUUGGGCUCUAAUCCAG
This 398-nucleotide long non-coding RNA is filed under the name Pan troglodytes (chimpanzee). Its description in RNAcentral is "long non-coding RNA NONPTRT007958". Lineage: Eukaryota; Metazoa; Chordata; Mammalia; Primates; Hominidae. The record is from RNAcentral.